Molecule: ribosomal RNA, 347 nt
Filed under: uncultured bacterium
Lineage: Bacteria
Description: bacterial SSU rRNA
Rfam family: Bacterial small subunit ribosomal RNA
Source: RNAcentral
AGAGUUUGAUCCUGGCUCAGGAUGAACGCUAGCUACAGGCUUAACACAUGCAAGUCGAGGGGAACGACAUCGAAAGCUUGCUUUGAUGGGCGUCGACCGGCGCACGGGUGAGUAACGCGUAUCCAACCUGCCCAUCACUUGGGGAUAACCUUGCGAAAGUAAGACUAAUACCCAAUGACGUCUCUAGAAGACAUCUGAAAGAGAUUAAAGAUUUAUCGGUGAUGGAUGGGGAUGCGUCUGAUUAGCUUGUUGGCGGGGUAACGGCCACCAAGGCGACGAUCAGUAGGGGUUCUGAGAGGAAGGUCCCCACAUUGGAACUGAGACACGGUCAAACUCUACGGGAGGCA